UAAAAUGCAUGAAAAAUAGUUUUUCUUUUGGUUAGUACUUUUUUUUUUACUUUCAAAGCCAUGUCAAUGAUAUUCCUUAACUACAUUUCUUUUCUUUGCAGCAAAGAAGAAGAGAAUAAAUGAAGGCUUGAAUUAUAAAUUUUAUUUCUGUUGCACUAUUUAAUCAAAUUUCGAUUUUCACUUUGUUUUUUUCUUCCUCCAUCUCUCUCAUAAGGAAUGAAGAAGCAGCACAUGCACCAUGAAGGCAGCCUCAAGCUUCAAAGUAAGGGUUUCCAAAUCAAAUCUAUUUUGAUUUAUUUUAUUUCCUUCAAUUUGAUGUUGAUUGAUCAUUUCUGAUUUUGUUUUCUUUUUGGAAUGUUNNNNNNNNNNNNNNNNNNNNNNNNNNNNNNCAAUAUUUCAAUUUCUUUCUUUUUUGAAAUCCCUAAUUUUCUAAUCCUCUUUUUGUUUCUUUUCCGGCAACAGACAAGUAACAGAUUGAAGCGGCAAUGGAAGGAACCAAACAAGGGCACACCUUCGGAACCACUAUUAGCAAGGACACAUAGCAGGAACCAGUUCAAGUGGUAUUAUUAUUAUUAUUAAUGAUUAUUUGUUUUUUAAAUGGUGUUUUGGUUUGAUGGUUUGCUUUGUGACAAUUUUAGUUGAUGUUAAUUUUAUUGUUCUGUUAUUUAUAAGCCUAAGAAAAAUUAAGAACUUUCAAUCUCUCAUAUUUGAGUAUAUAUGUUUGAAAAGGAGUAUCAUGCCAAUAUAUAACAAAAAUAUUACAUGAAAACAAAAAUCUGGUAUAAAAAAAUGUCAACCAACUUUGGAUUAUGAAAAAAGAUGUUUCUCAUUAUUGUGUUUCAUUCAUUUUUGGAAUGUAAACUCAUUGUCAUUUUUGUAUUCCAGACCCAUAUUCAUUUUCGAAUUUCAUGUCAUUAUAUUUUAUUCCUUCAAUUUGUAAUGAUGUUGCUUCCUGCUCUACUCAGAUCUUUGUUUUAUUUUUUGUUUUCAUGUGCAAUCAGAGGUUGCUGCUGCCCAUCAAUUUGGGGAUAAAUGUAUGCCAUGUUAACAAUCAAAACAACUAUUCAUUUUCUUUCUAAUGUGAUGAGAAUUUGCUUCAUCUUUUCUCAAGGUUUUUUGUUCCUUCCUUUUUACUGCUUAUUGUUAUAGUUUCAAAUAUAAAAAAUCAUGUUGUUGAUGUUGGUACGAGUAUUUGGACUUCUUAUUGUUAUAGUUUCAUAUAUUUGUAGAAUAAUUGAACAACAAUAAUAAUAAUCCUCUUUGUUAAAUUCUAAAUUAAGACAUGAACUUAACAUGAUUGUUUUGUGUUGUUCUGCAGCUACUAUUUAAAGGUGGUGUAGCAGAUUGUGCAUAUUGUUUUGUUUUCCUAUAGGUAUACUUGCUUAGCUUAUUAUGAUUUGGAGUUAAACCAUUGUGUUAUUAGUAGAUUUAUAAUUUUCAAUGGAAUUGAUCUAUUGUUUGAGUGAUCACUUAUAGUUUGAUACUUNNNNNNNNNNNUUGAAUUCCUUACUUUAAUGAGAGGAAGUAAAUUGAUCUUAAAUUUCAAUUCUAUCCAUGUUUUGUAGUUUGAUGAAAUAUUUCAUUGAUUUCUUAUCUCUGCAUUUCUUAU
This 1609-nucleotide long non-coding RNA is filed under the name Trifolium pratense (red clover). Its description in RNAcentral is "long non-coding RNA (TPRA_LNC014316)". Lineage: Eukaryota; Viridiplantae; Streptophyta; Magnoliopsida; Fabales; Fabaceae. The record is from RNAcentral.